RNAcentral lists this ribosomal RNA (228 nucleotides) under uncultured bacterium. RNAcentral describes it as "partial 16S ribosomal RNA". It matches the Rfam family "Bacterial small subunit ribosomal RNA", at positions 103 to 334 of the family's 1533-position model. The record is from RNAcentral.
CGGGUGAGUAAUGUCUGGGAAACUGCCUGAUGGAGGGGGAUAACUACUGGAAACGGUAGCUAAUACCGCAUAACGUCGCAAGACCAAAGAGGGGGACCUUCGGGCCUCUUGCCAUCGGAUGUGCCCAGAUGGGAUUAGCUAGUAGGUGGGGUAACGGCUCACCUAGGCGACGAUCCCUAGCUGGUCUGAGAGGAUGACCAGCCACACUGGAACUGAGACAUGGUCCAG